CAGCCGCCGCGGGAAUACGAAGGGUGCAAGCGUUAAUCGGAAUUACUGGGCGUAAAGCGUGCGUAGGCGGUGAGUUAAGUCUGCUGUGAAAUCCCCGGGCUCAACCUGGGAAUGGCAGUGGAUACUGGCUCGCUAGAGUGUGUCAGAGGAUGGUGGAAUUCCCGGUGUAGCGGUGAAAUGCGUAGAGAUCUGGAGGAAUACCGGUGGCGAAGGCGGCCCCCUGGACAAAGACUGACGCUCAGGUGCGAAAGCGUGGGGAGCAAACAGGAUUAGAUACCCCUGUAGUCCCUGUCUCUUAUAC
RNAcentral lists this ribosomal RNA (301 nucleotides) under uncultured bacterium. Its description in RNAcentral is "partial 16S ribosomal RNA". It matches the Rfam family "Bacterial small subunit ribosomal RNA", at positions 509 to 807 of the family's 1533-position model. The record is from RNAcentral.